RNAcentral lists this ribosomal RNA (495 nucleotides) under uncultured bacterium. Its description in RNAcentral is "bacterial SSU rRNA". It matches the Rfam family "Bacterial small subunit ribosomal RNA", at positions 28 to 477 of the family's 1533-position model. The record is from RNAcentral.
GAUGAACGCUGGCGGCGUGCCUAAUACAUGCAAGUCGAACGCAUUGUGGUUGAAAUGAUAUGAAGAACUUGUUCAGAUUUGAUUUUCAACAUUGCAAUGAGUGGCGAACGGGUGAGUAACACGUGGGAAACCUACCUCUUAGCAGGGGAUAACAUUUGGAAACAAAUGCUAAUACCGUAUAAUAAUUAAAACCGCAUGGUUUUAGUUUAAGAGAUGGUCUUGCUAUCACUAAGAGAUGGUCCCGCGGUGUAUUAGUUAGUUGGUGAGGUAAUGGCUCACCAAGACAAUGAUACAUAGCCGAGUUGAGAGACUGACCGGCCACAAUGGGACUGAGACACGGCCCAUACUCCUACGGGAGGCAGCAGUAGGGAAUCUUCCACAAUGGACGAAAGUCUGAUGGAGCAACGCCGCGUGUGUGAUGAAGGGUUUCGGCUCGUAAAACACUGUUGUAAGAGAAGAAUGACAUUGAGAGUAACUGUUCAAUGUGUGACGGUA